UUGAUUCGUUUUAAAGACAGGUUCUCGCUACGUCACCCAGGCUGGCCUUGAACUCACUACGUACCUGGAUUUCUUGACAGCUAACUAUGAGUACUGAAAACUCCAAGCAGUUUUGUGGCGGUGUGUCCCUCCCCUUAAAGAGUUAAUUAAGCAGCCCCGCGGCCUGCCCGAGAGAAACCCUAAAGAGGCGCCACAUUCUUGCAGGAACUCAGUCUGUCCCAGCUCAAACUGCCCUCCAGAUGAACAAGUGCUCUACGGAAUUUAUUGCACAGACGGGGAUCCUGGAGGCAGAAGGAUGCCACGGUGGUGUUUAUGGGUAAUAUAAAUCCAGGUUACUUCCAAGGCAUUGGAGGGUGAUGGGAGCCAGCCCGCGUGUGAACUCCUUCAGGCCACCAGCCAGCAUCGCAGCCCCUGAACUCCCCCCUCCCCCACAGAAGGUGUCUCAGACUGAGCCAGUCCUGUCUCCCCAUUCGCACACACAGGGGACACCGCCCAGAAUGCCCUCAAUCAGGUUGCCCAAGUAUUACACGUAAAGUUGUGCCACACAUAAUAAGCAAAGGGAAUGUGGCUUGUUUUUAAAACUUUAGAAUAAAGGUGGUACAGUU
RNAcentral lists this long non-coding RNA (605 nucleotides) under Rattus norvegicus (Norway rat). RNAcentral describes it as "long non-coding RNA NONRATT017804". The record is from RNAcentral. Lineage: Eukaryota; Metazoa; Chordata; Mammalia; Rodentia; Muridae.